CGGACUUGACCCCGCGCAUGCCCGGACUCUCCCAGCCUUAUAUAAUCCGACCGCUCUCGAUUAACCGUGCCGUGCGCCAUUGACGAGGAGAGAGAAGCGGGGACCACCAUUGAUGCAUCGUGAGCGCAGGAGAGAGAGAUGCAAGAAGAGAGAAAAUAGAGCUGGGCCACUGCGAGGGAGUCCUGGAUCACCAUCGAUCUGAGUCAAGCACGCGGCCAGAAAGAUCCCCGACGAGAAUAACUGAAUGCGAGGACCUGGGAUUUGUUCAUCAGCGAUUGCUGCUGCUGUGUGUCCGCCCCUCAUCGAGGCCUCCUCUAACCGUCGCUUAAUCACAGGUAAAAAGUCCCUAAAUGCAUUCGCGACACCUUAAUCUUCGUGUUCCCGUCGGUAAUUGGAUCUGCGUGAGCCUGCGUACUAGUUUGGUAUGUCGCCGUGGAGUGCCACGCCGCCGGGUGUGUCGUGCGGGCCACUGCUGCUGGGGGCUGAGAAGGAAGACGAUGGGAGAAACGUCGAUUUCUGGUGGACGGCUCAGAUUGAACGCUGCGUACACCCCUUCGCUGGUUUGAUCUGAGCGGUUGGUUCCGAUCGGACGGACCUGGUGUGAUCACGGUUAUUUAAAAUAUAGGCCGUUGAUCUGGCCAGGGACGGAUACGAUUAGACUGGACGCUUACCUCUUCGUUGGUUGAGUAUGUACUGUUGAUCUAUGAUCUAACGGUUGUGAUGCGCGCGGGGUUAGGCAGCCGAGCCAGCUUUACGUAAGAGCCCUCGAGAUUUAAGGUAAUAAACCCGCCGUCCAUUUUUUUAGUAUAAAGAAAGUAAAAUUAAAUGAAGACUUUGCGUUUUAGCCCAUGGGGUUUGUUUUUAGGCACAAAAUUGAUACAAAUAUGCACAAAAGCUAAGAAAAUCCAUAUCUUGCUCAUGUUAACUCCUUUUUAGUCCGUUCAAGUUGCGUUAGCUUCGUAAUAAAAUUAUCUACACUUUGGUAACCUUAUUUUAUCAUGAAACAUGUUUGUAAAUAAUUAAUUUGUUUACCCUAUGUUCAUUGGAUUAACUUCUUUAUUUAAAAUUAAAGUAAAAUUUCCGCUUCCUAGUUGUAAUUUGACUUAAAUAUGUUUUCUAAUCAAGUUAUAACUUGGGUUAAAAUUAAAUUAAUGGUUUCUUAGGAAUAUAUUUCUCACGUGAUUUAUAAUAAUCAACCUAGAACCUAGUUUUCCUGUUUAAUCACAUAAACCUUCGGAAAAUCAUAACUUUAUAACCGUAGCUCCUAAUUUAGCAAUUCUCGAGCCCGCGAUCUCAUAGCUUCGCGUAGAUUAUUAUUACACAGUUUAUUCUUAUAUUUGGUGUGAUGUUAAUUUUGCCUAUACCAUGUUUGUUUGUAUUGCUACGACUAGCGUGAGGUCACGAGUCACCUGAAGAUCAUCCUGGUACCUGGAAUCUCAAGUCCCAGGCAAGUUGUGCCCUUGAUCACUUCUUUUACCCACUCAUGUUCUAAUUAAUCAUAAUGAUCUGCAUAGGUUAAUUUGAUGGGACCUAAUAGGUUACCCUAGUUUGUCUAUCUUUAUGCCUUGUUUACCACUAAACUUUCUGGGUAGUACUUGCUAGUGCUAUAUGUGGUUUUGGGCAUUGAGAUACAUAUUAUUCAUACUUUUGUUAUCAGUUGCUAUUUACUGUUCAUGAUAAGAUCAUUCUGUUAAUUGGAACAUGGAGAACCACCCGGGAAAACAGUGCUACCACAAGGGUUUAAUGGGACGCCCUUGGCCGAUUAAUUAGGAAAGCUAGUGGAAGACUACCUUACCCGAAAGGGGCAAGGGUAGUAGGGGAGUGGUCAGUGUAGGGAGGCCCUCGGGAGGAUUUUGCUACGAUGGCGGUCCUGCAAGGGAUUCCUGCAUUGGAGCUUCCUAUAAACUGUAGCGGGUUUUCUGAAGCUAGUGGAACUUUGUAAAGGCCUCGUAGUGUUACCCUGCCUCGCCUCCUCGGUAGAGGUGUAUGGGAAGUCGCGAUCCCUUGGCAGAUGGGUAACAUGACUUGUGGGUAAAGAUGCGUAACCUCUGCAGAGUGUAAAACUGGUAUACUAGCCGUGCUCACGGUCAUGAGCAGCUCGGACACUCACAUGAUUAAAUUAUGAAACUUAAACUCAAUUUGUCAUAUGCAUUGCAUCGCAGGUGAGGUUGUUACUUUUGUUCUGCUACUUAAUUGGGUUGGUAUUUACUUAUACUUAGUAAUUGCUAAUAAAAUUUUGACCAACAUUAAAAGCAAUGCUCAGCUUCAACCAUCCUCUUUGGUAAGCCUUACACUUCACGUGAGCUCCCACCUUUGGCGAGUUCAUGCACAUUAUUCCCCACAACUUGUUGAGCUAUGAACGUAUGUGAGCUCACUCUUGCUGUCUCACACCCCCCACAGGUCAAGAACAGGUACCGCAGGAUGAGGCGCAUGGAGGAUGCUGUGAUGAGUUCGUGAGAGAGAUCUAGGCCGUCGUCUCCCAGUCAACUUUGGGUUGCUGGACCGUUGUCUCCUUUUGAUGUAAUUAUUUAUUGAUUUUGUAUAGAACUCUUGUUAUAU
This 2559-nucleotide long non-coding RNA is filed under the name Zea mays. RNAcentral's name for it is "long non-coding RNA (ZMAY_LNC005622)". The record is from RNAcentral. Lineage: Eukaryota; Viridiplantae; Streptophyta; Magnoliopsida; Poales; Poaceae.